AUUGAACGCUGGCGGCAGGCCUAACACAUGCAAGUCGAGCGGAUGAAGGGAGCUUGCUCCUGGAUUCAGCGGCGGACGGGUGAGUAAUGCCUAGGAAUCUGCCUGGUAGUGGGGGAUAACGUCCGGAAACGGGCGCUAAUACCGCAUACGUCCUGAGGGAGAAAGUGGGGGAUCUUCGGACCUCACGCUAUCAGAUGAGCCUAGGUCGGAUUAGCUAGUUGGUGGGGUAAAGGCCUACCAAGGCGACGAUCCGUAACUGGUCUGAGAGGAUGAUCAGUCACACUGGAACUGAGACACGGUCCAGACUCCUACGGGAGGCAGUAGUGGGGAAUAUUGGACAAUGGGCGAAAGCCUGAUCCAGCCAUGCCGCGUGUGUGAAGAAGGUCUUCGGAUUGUAAAGCACUUUAAGUUGGGAGGAAGGGCAGUAAGUUAAUACCUUGCUGUUUUGACGUUACCAACAGAAUAAGCACCGACUAACUUCGUG
RNAcentral lists this ribosomal RNA (484 nucleotides) under uncultured bacterium. RNAcentral's name for it is "partial 16S ribosomal RNA". It matches the Rfam family "Bacterial small subunit ribosomal RNA", at positions 30 to 507 of the family's 1533-position model. The record is from RNAcentral.